GUGAAGGGCUUCUGUCGUGAGUGGCACACGUAGGGCAGCUCCAUUGCUCUUCGUGCGGAAUCGACAUCAAGAGAUUUCAGAAGCAUAAUUUUUUGGUAGCUGGGCAGCUGGUGAUCGUUGGUCCUGGCGCCCCU
This 134-nucleotide small nuclear RNA is filed under the name Suricata suricatta (meerkat). RNAcentral's name for it is "U11 spliceosomal RNA (ENSSSUG00005016348.1)". It matches the Rfam family "U11 spliceosomal RNA". The record is from Rfam by way of RNAcentral. Lineage: Eukaryota; Metazoa; Chordata; Mammalia; Carnivora; Herpestidae.